This is a non-coding RNA of Thamnophis sirtalis, 470 nucleotides long. The record is from RefSeq and is a predicted model, not a curated record. Lineage: Eukaryota; Metazoa; Chordata; Lepidosauria; Squamata; Natricidae.
GGCGCUGGCUCCUCCAGGGACUUUUCGAUGUCUCGGAGAUCCAACGCUUUGCAUUUACACCGGAGAGAAGAUUUGGUCUUCCAUGCCGGUCCACCGUCUAACGUUCUACCUCUCUCAAGAUACCGGCUGUUUUGCUGAGAAUCACCCAAAGGAAGGAUUUUGUUCUGUAGAAUCUUGCAACCAAUGGAGACCAGGACCCAAAUCCUGCUUUUUCUACCCUUAUCCAUGUUCUUCUGGAUCCCGGGGAGUUUCACGCUGCUAGAAGCAGACGGAGGCUGGCGGACCAACAGGCACGCCGCGUUGCCAGAAGAUGGGAGUUGCACAGUGGAGAGAAGGGACGCCUCCCUCACUUAUGCACAGUUUAUUCAACAGUUAAGUGACGGGAGCAGUGCGGGGGCAGCCUAGAGGUGGAGCUCUGGCCUCACUGUGAGGCUGUGGGUUCGAUCCCAGGUUGAGGCUGAUCUUUCUCU